Molecule: ribosomal RNA, 460 nt
Filed under: uncultured bacterium
Lineage: Bacteria
Description: partial 16S ribosomal RNA
Rfam family: Bacterial small subunit ribosomal RNA
Source: RNAcentral
CCUACGGGUGGCAGCAGUGAGGAAUCUUGGUCAAUGGGCGAGAGCCUGAACCAGCCAAGUCGCGUGAAGGAUGAAGGAUCUAUGGUUUGUAAACUUCUUUUAUAUGGGAGUAAAGUGAGGAACGUGUACAGUUUUGUCUGUGCCAUAUGCAUAAGCAUAGGCUAACUCCGUGCCAGGAGCCGCGGUAAUACGGAGGCUCCGAUCGUUAUCCGUAUGUGUUGGGUUUAAAGGGUGCGUAGGGGGUUUAGUAAGUCUGCGGUGAAAUUGUGGGGCGAAAACAUAACAUUGCCGUUGAAACUGGUUGACUUGAGUAUAGGUGAGGUAGGCGGAAUGCGUGGUGUAGCGGUGAAAUGCAUAGAUAUCACGCAGAACGCCGAUGGCGAAGGCAGCUUACUAAACUAUAACUGACGCUGAGGCACGAAAGCGUGGGGAUCAAACAGGAUUAGAUACCCGAGUAGUC